Schizosaccharomyces pombe (fission yeast) is the source of this 245-nucleotide non-coding RNA. NCBI's taxonomy places the organism in Eukaryota, Fungi, Ascomycota, Schizosaccharomycetes, Schizosaccharomycetales, Schizosaccharomycetaceae. The record is from the annotation of a GenBank genome assembly.
AAGUGUAGGAAAAUAGAGAAAAAAGAAGAGUAGUAGUAAAAGUAGAAGAGUAAGAGUAGGAGAAAAAAAAUUACACGAGAGAGUAAAGACUGGGGUUAUAGAAGUGAAAAGGGAGACGAACGACUUGAUAUGGACUUUUGUGAAAGAAGCUCGAAUUAAGGUGUAUCGCUAAGUAAGAAGGUUUGUAAAAAGCGAGGGAGGGUGGGACGGAAUAGAGAAGCGAAGGGUCAAGUUGAUGUCGAGAG